UCACUUUCAACAACGGAUCUCUUGGCUCUCGCAUCGAUGAAGAACGCAGCGAAAUGCGAUAAGUAGUGUGAAUUGCAGAAGUAUGUGAAUCAUCGAAUCUUUGAACGCAAAUUGCACUCUCUGGUAUUCCGGGGAGUAUGCCUGU
Molecule: ribosomal RNA, 145 nt
Filed under: uncultured Funneliformis
Lineage: Eukaryota; Fungi; Glomeromycota; Glomeromycetes; Glomerales; Glomeraceae
Description: 5.8S ribosomal RNA
Rfam family: 5.8S ribosomal RNA
About the family: 5.8S ribosomal RNA (5.8S rRNA) is a component of the large subunit of the eukaryotic ribosome. It is transcribed by RNA polymerase I as part of the 45S precursor that also contains 18S and 28S rRNA. Functionally, it is thought that 5.8S rRNA may be involved in ribosome translocation.
Source: RNAcentral